CGGUGGUCAUAGUAUUGGGGAAACGCCCGGCAACAUUCCGAACCCGGAAGCUAAGCCCAACAACGCCGAUGGUACUGCACCCGACAGGGUGUGGGAGAGUAGGAAACCGCCGCAACC
RNAcentral lists this ribosomal RNA (117 nucleotides) under Schaalia cardiffensis F0333. Lineage: Bacteria; Bacillati; Actinomycetota; Actinomycetes; Actinomycetales; Actinomycetaceae. The record is from RNAcentral.